GGGAGCAUAGCUCAGCUGGGAGAGCGUCUGCCUUACAAGCAGGAUGUCACAGGUUCGAGUCCUGUUGUUCCCACCA
This 76-nucleotide transfer RNA is filed under the name Clostridia bacterium. RNAcentral describes it as "tRNA-Val". It matches the Rfam family "tRNA". From Rfam's summary of the family: Transfer RNA (tRNA) molecules are approximately 80 nucleotides in length. Their secondary structure includes four short double-helical elements and three loops (D, anti-codon, and T loops). Lineage: Bacteria; Bacillati; Bacillota; Clostridia. The record is from RNAcentral.